This 92-nucleotide transfer RNA is filed under the name Actinoplanes teichomyceticus. RNAcentral describes it as "tRNA-Arg". Lineage: Bacteria; Bacillati; Actinomycetota; Actinomycetes; Micromonosporales; Micromonosporaceae. The record is from RNAcentral.
CGGCCGAUUCGUCCGGCAGGUGUGUUCCCGCGGCGGGCGCCGGAUCGGGCGUCCGGGGAAGAUCGCCGGCGUUCUGAUCCGUUGCGGGCCGA